UACGGAGGGUGCGAGCGUUGUCCGGAAUCACUGGGCGUAAAGGGCGCGUAGGUGGCGCGGGUAGUCGUCGGUGAAAGCUCAGGGCUCAACCCUGAGUCGGCCGGUGAUACUCCCGUGCUCGAGUGUGGUAGAGGCCAAUGGAAUUCCGGGUGUAGCGGUGGAAUGCGUAGAGAUCCGGAAGAACACCGGUGGCGAAGGCGACAUACUGGCCCAAUACUGACGCUGAGGCUCGAAAGCGUGGGGAGCAAACAGG
This 253-nucleotide ribosomal RNA is filed under the name uncultured bacterium. Its description in RNAcentral is "partial 16S ribosomal RNA". It matches the Rfam family "Bacterial small subunit ribosomal RNA", at positions 524 to 776 of the family's 1533-position model. The record is from RNAcentral.